This 69-nucleotide transfer RNA is filed under the name Geotria australis. Its description in RNAcentral is "tRNA-Phe". The record is from RNAcentral. Lineage: Eukaryota; Metazoa; Chordata; Hyperoartia; Petromyzontiformes; Geotriidae.
GUUAAGAGUGGCUUAACACUAAAGCGGGGCACUGAAGCUGCCCAAAUGGUUUUUACAAACCCCUUGACA